RNAcentral lists this transfer RNA (72 nucleotides) under Phrynosoma platyrhinos (Desert horned lizard). Its description in RNAcentral is "tRNA-OTHER". The record is from RNAcentral. Lineage: Eukaryota; Metazoa; Chordata; Lepidosauria; Squamata; Phrynosomatidae.
GCCAGGGUGGCAUAGUGAUUUGAGUGCCGGACUAUGACUCUGGAGACCAGGGUUCGAAUUCUGGCUCAGCCA